RNAcentral lists this long non-coding RNA (509 nucleotides) under Carica papaya (papaya). RNAcentral describes it as "long non-coding RNA (CPAP_LNC012658)". The record is from RNAcentral. Lineage: Eukaryota; Viridiplantae; Streptophyta; Magnoliopsida; Brassicales; Caricaceae.
UUGGUUUUUCUUCUCUGGCGGGAGGCUGGCGACUAGGGUUAGAGUUCGGUGUGAAGUCAGGUAUUUAUAUUCGUAUCCCUUUAAUCUGAACCGUCCAUCGCAUUUGAUCUUGAUUGUUCGAUCGCAUUUAAAGAGAAAAUGAAUUUGAACCUUUUAUCGCAAUUUGAUCUGGACCGUACGAUCAUGUUAAAGAGGAAACGAAUCUGAACCGUCCACGCGCGUGGGAACAAAUUUGGAUCGUUCGAGGCACGCAGAUUACCAGCGCGGUCUUCCGCGUGGUACAACGUCAGCGUGCCUUGUCACGCGGCGCACUACUGUUUGUCGGCGCUGCUGACUGGGCACAUUUUUCUUAAAUUGCAUUUUGACUCUUAAUUUUUCAAUUUUUUUUUUCAAAAAUACAUUCAAAACCCAAAAUUUCACCAUCCUUUCCUCCUAGGCUUGCUGUGCAGCGAUGAGUCUCUCCAGCAUUUCAAAUAAUUGGUCAACAUCCUCUCAAAGCAAACCCUCCC